This 336-nucleotide unclassified non-coding RNA is filed under the name soil metagenome. RNAcentral describes it as "partial contains 5.8S ribosomal RNA, internal transcribed spacer 2, and large subunit ribosomal RNA". The stretch from base 1 to 120 matches the Rfam family "5.8S ribosomal RNA", at positions 35 to 154 of the family's 154-position model. The record is from RNAcentral.
GAUGAAGAACGUAGCGAAAUGCGAUAAGUAAUGUGAAUUGCAGAAUUCCGUGAAUCAUCGAAUCUUUGAACGCACAUUGCGCCCCCUGGUAUUCCGGGGGGCAUGCCUGUCCGAGCGUCAUUGCAACCUUCAAGCGCGGCUUGUGUGUUGGGUCUCGUCCCCCGUGGACGGGCCCGAAAGGCAGUGGCGGCGUCCCGACAUGGUGCCCGAGCGUAUGGGAAUCCUCUUCCGCUCGAAUCGGCCCAUGCGGCGUUGGUCGUAACCAAAUUUUUUACCGGUUGACCUCGGAUCAGGUAGGGAUACCCGCUGAACUUAAGCAUAUCAAUAAGCGGAGGA